RNAcentral lists this unclassified non-coding RNA (367 nucleotides) under uncultured fungus. RNAcentral describes it as "partial contains small subunit ribosomal RNA, internal transcribed spacer 1, and 5.8S ribosomal RNA". The stretch from base 1 to 73 matches the Rfam family "Eukaryotic small subunit ribosomal RNA", at positions 1759 to 1831 of the family's 1831-position model. Lineage: Eukaryota; Fungi. The record is from RNAcentral.
GCAAACUUGGUCAUUUAGAGGAAGUAAAAGUCGUAACAAGGUUUCCGUAGGUGAACCUGCGGAAGGAUCAUUAAUGAAAACUUGCAGUUCGAGCUGGUUUCUCGCAAGGGAAACAUUGUGUCUCGCUGCUAAUCUUCAUCCACCUGUGCACUAUUUGUAGGGAAUGAGGUUGAUCUUUGAUCGAAUCUGUAGUUUGGAUUAAGUUCUAAAGCUCUCCUUUGAUUGGAUCUAACUCUCUGAACCUAUGUUUCACAUACACCAUUAUAAUAAGUCUAGAAUGUCUUUUUUUGUCUUCUUGAUUGAAGCAAAAACUUAUACAACUUUCAGCAACGGAUCUCUUGGCUCUCGCAUCGAUGAAGAACGCAGC